CCUACGGGUGGCUGCAGUGAGGAAUAUUGGUCAAUGGGCGUGAGGCUGAACCAGCCAAGUCGCGUGAAGGAUGACUGCCCUAUGGUUUGUAAACUUCUUUUAUAAGGGAAUAAAGGUAUCCACGUGUGGCUUUUUGCAUGUACCUUAUGAAUAAGCAUCGGCUAACUCCGUGCCAGCAGCCGCGGUAAUACGGAGGAUCCGAGCGUUAUCCGGAUUUAUUGGGUUUAAAGGGUGCGUAGGUGGUUUGUUAAGUCAGUGGUGAAAGUUUGUGGCUCAACCGUAAAAUUGCCGUUGAAACUGGAAGACUUGAGUGUGUUUGAGGUAGGCGGAAUGCGUGGUGUAGCGGUGAAAUGCAUAGAUAUCACGCAGAACUCCGAUUGCGAAGGCAGCUUACUAAGCCAUAACUGACACUGAUGCACGAAAGCGUGGGGAUCAAACAGGAUUAGAUACCCUUGUAGUC
Molecule: ribosomal RNA, 460 nt
Filed under: uncultured bacterium
Lineage: Bacteria
Description: partial 16S ribosomal RNA
Rfam family: Bacterial small subunit ribosomal RNA
Source: RNAcentral